This is a long non-coding RNA of Pogonomyrmex barbatus (red harvester ant), 268 nucleotides long. RefSeq lists it as uncharacterized. Lineage: Eukaryota; Metazoa; Arthropoda; Insecta; Hymenoptera; Formicidae. The record is from RefSeq and is a predicted model, not a curated record.
AGGGGAGAGGAGGGAGCGCACCUACGAGUACAAAAGGUGUAAUACGCGAACAGAUAAAGGGAGAGUGCGCGCGCGCGCGGAGAUUGGAGCAGCGGAGGCGAGGGGGAGAUGGGGACGUCGCAUGGGACGUCAACAGACACGAUUCAACACGCACGCACGCACACUACCGUGACCGUCGGAUCCCAUUGUGAUCUCCGUUCGUCUCUCAACUAAGGUAUUUCUCGCCAGUCCUCCACAUCCUCCUGUCGCGAUUUGGAUGAUGGAAAAA